CGAGUGACAGGUAAGGGCUCUGAACCUUCCUGCGUGCUACCCAAGGAGUGCCUAGGGCUACCAGGAGGCCCAGGGAGGAACCUUGAGACCUGAGAAAGGCUUUUCUUCCCCGAGAGGACCACUGCUCAGGCUCAGAGGCCAUGGGGUGAAGUGCACAAAAAAGUGGGCGUCCAGCCAUGCUCUAAGUCCCCCGAAGAUGAAGACCAGGGAGCAGCUUCCUCCAAUGAAGCAGCAGCAAUCAGAGGACCAGGAGGCUGAAGCCCUGAGCCCAGCCAGAGGCAGGAUCAGCCAAGUCUGGGACAGGCUUCAAUUAUUUUAGGCAGAGCUUCUGGUUCCUGGGCCUUCAGACUUGGACUAGAACUUCACUACCAGCUUUCCUGGGUCUCCAGCUUGCAGAGAGCAGAUCGCAGAACUUCUUAGCCUCCAUAAUCACAAGAACGUGUUUGCUUCCCCUUCCACCAUGAUUGUAAGUUUCCUGAGGCCUCCCCAGUCCUGCAGAACUGCUUUGAAGAAGACCACUGCGUCGGUAUUUGUGAAAUGUUUUGAGCCUCUGGAUUUAAAUAAGAUGGAAAACCAAAGCUCAGGGAGUUUUACAUGGGCAGGCAGCUGGUGAGGGCUGAGACUGGAGCCAGGCCAGUGGUCUUCAAAGGCUUUAGUCAAACUUUUUGACAGAUAUAAGAAAACCGAACUAAGGAAAAUACUUUCCUGGGAUCAUCCCUAUAUGAAGUGGCAGACCUGGAAUUGCUCCCUGUUUCAAAACAUGUUGGCACCGCUUCUGUUGCUUCCAGGAAGAUUGCAUACACAUGUAAAACCGGAAAAACGUUAAUGAAGAGAAAAACUAAAAGCUCCCGCCCCCACCCAGGCCUGCUCAGAAGAACCCAAGCCACUCAGAAGCAGGAGGCAGCCUUCACCCCAACCAGACCAAUAUCCGUUCCAGACUCAGGAUUACAACAAUCUGGGAGAGGGUCAACCAAGUCAGAGUCCCACAUGGCAGAAGAGCUGCUUUAGCUUAAGACUCUUAACUCUUUUUCUUCGGGGCAGGAAAGGUUUGAGCCAAUGAAGGAUGAGGCUUUCCAGGCCCAGGACACAACCUUGAUCCAAGGCCUAGUUGUGGCUUUAAUUUUUGUAAAUCAAGCCUCAAGUUUUUCUUCACUCUUUUAGCCAAAGAUAUGUUUCCCAGGAUGCAUGAAAUAAAUAAAUAAAAUGUACCAAAUUAGAGAUUGUGAGACAUGUAUGUCACUUAAAUCCUUUGUAGGCAAGCAG
RNAcentral lists this long non-coding RNA (1263 nucleotides) under Homo sapiens (human). RNAcentral describes it as "HSALNT0327300". Lineage: Eukaryota; Metazoa; Chordata; Mammalia; Primates; Hominidae. The record is from RNAcentral.